CUCUGUCCCUCCUCCCCCUUGACUGGUGGAAUUGUGGCUGGGGCAGCAGGCGUUGAGACGGGUAAUCUUGUUGUUUCAGAUGCUGGUGACCUUUGAGGAGGUGGCUGUGUAUUUCACCCAGGGGCAGGGGGCUCUGCUGGACUCCGCUCAGAAUGCCCUCUAGAGGGAUGUCAUGCAGGAGAACUACCAGACGGUGACCUCGCUGGGAUUUUCCCUUCCCAAACCUGACCCAAUCACCCGGCUGGAAUGAGGGGAAGAGCCGUGGGUGCCCUAUCUCCAGGCCAGUGAGGAAAGAGGGAUCCCGAGAGGCGCCCACACAGCAGUUGAUGAGAGAGUGAGUGAGAACGAGGAGGGGAAUCAACAGCAGGAAGUUCCUGGGCACGGGGAAUCGCAGAGA
Molecule: long non-coding RNA, 397 nt
Organism: Gopherus flavomarginatus (Mexican gopher tortoise)
Lineage: Eukaryota; Metazoa; Chordata; Testudines; Testudinidae
Exons: 3
Source: RefSeq, a predicted model, not a curated record